Molecule: ribosomal RNA, 252 nt
Filed under: uncultured bacterium
Lineage: Bacteria
Description: partial 16S ribosomal RNA
Rfam family: Bacterial small subunit ribosomal RNA
Source: RNAcentral
ACAGAGGGUGCGAGCGUUAAUCGGAAUCACUGGGCUUAAAGCGUGCGUAGGCGGAUGUGCAGGCAUGUUGUGAAAUCCCAUGGCUCAACCAUGGAAUAGCUUCGUGAACCGCACAUCUUGAGACAGGCAGAGGCGGUCGGAACGAUAGGUGGAGCGGUGAAAUGCGUAGAUAUCUAUCGGAACGCCAACGGAGAAGUCAGGUCGCUGGGCCUGUUCUGACGCUGAGGCACGAAAGCGUGGGGAGCAAACGGG